Molecule: ribosomal RNA, 507 nt
Filed under: Candida albicans
Lineage: Eukaryota; Fungi; Ascomycota; Pichiomycetes; Serinales; Debaryomycetaceae
Description: eukaryotic LSU rRNA
Rfam family: 5.8S ribosomal RNA (bases 140-293)
Source: RNAcentral
GGCUCGAUUGCUAUUGCACCACAUGUGUUUUUCUUUGAAACAAACUUGCUUUGGCGGUGGGCCCAGCCUGCCGCCAGAGGUCUAAACUUACAACCAAUUUUUUAUCAACUUGUCACACCAGAUUAUUACUAAUAGUCAAAACUUUCAACAACGGAUCUCUUGGUUCUCGCAUCGAUGAAGAACGCAGCGAAAUGCGAUACGUAAUAUGAAUUGCAGAUAUUCGUGAAUCAUCGAAUCUUUGAACGCACAUUGCGCCCUCUGGUAUUCCGGAGGGCAUGCCUGUUUGAGCGUCGUUUCUCCCUCAAACCGCUGGGUUUGGUGUUGAGCAAUACGACUUGGGUUUGCUUGAAAGACGGUAGUGGUAAGGCGGGAUCGCUUUGACAAUGGCUUAGGUCUAACCAAAAACAUUGUUUGCGGCGGUAACGUCCACCACGUAUAUCUUCAAACUUUGACCUCAAAUCAGGUAGGACUACCCGCUGAACUUAAGCAUAUCAAAAGCCGGAGGAA